GCCGGUUUACUGGCGAUGGUAAUCAGAUACAGAGAUAUUGAUACCUUACGUUGAAAUAAAAGUACAGAAGCUGCACGUCAACAUAAAUUACUAUUCGAAGUAUGCAUUACUUAAUUCUUGAUGUUAAAAUGCAAGGAUGUGUUCUACCCUCUGCAUGCAUGCCUAACUUUCUCCAUUUUCUUUUUUUCCCUUAUUAUUUUUUUUUGCCAGCAAUUGCCUCGUCUGCCUCAUUGUAGUUACGGCCCUGAUUCAAGGUCUUUAUAGUUGGAUCUUUUAUUAGAAGUUCUAAUAACGUUUGUCAGGACCUCAGCAGGAAUAUCAACUCUUCCUGCUGCUUUUCAAAGAUAAGCAUGAAAUACAUGUACAGCUUUUAAGACUUCUUCUUAUAUAUAUCUAUAAUAAUAUUCAAGAUAAUAACAAACUAGAGGCUCUAAAGAGCCUGUGUCGCUCACCUUCGUCUAUGUGAAUAUUCAACAGAGGACACAGAUGAAUUCAUGACAAAAUUGAGUUUUGGUGAUGGUGAUGUUUUGUAGAUCUUACUUUACUGAACAAUCUUGCUGCGUACAAUUAUCCCUAUUAAUUAGGUUUGGCCCAGUAGUUUCAGUGGAAAAUGUAAGUAAAAACUUACAAAUUUUAUGAAAAUUGUUAAAAUUUACCAUAAAGGGCAAUAACUCCUUAGGGGGUCAAUUGACCAUUUUGGUCAUGUUGACUUAUUUUUAGGUCUUACUUUGUUGAAAAUUAUUGCUGUUUACAGUUUAUCUCUAUCUAUAAUAAUAUUCAAGAUAAUAACAAAAAAGCCAAAAUUUCCUUAAAAUUACCAAUUCAGGGGCAACCUACUAACCAGUUGUCCAAUUCAUCUGAAAAUUUAAGAGCAGAUAGUUCUUGACCUGAUAAACAAUAUCAACCCCUAUCAGAAUUGCUCUAAAUGCUUUGGUUUUUGAGUUAUGAGCCAAAAACUGCAUUUUACCCCUAUGUUCUAUUUUUAGCCAUGGCGGCCAUUUUGGUUGAUUGGUCGGGUCACCGGACACAAUUUUUAAUCUAGAUACCCCAAUGAUGAUUGUGGCUAAGUUUCAUUUAAUUUGGCCCAGCAGUUUCAGAGGAGAAGAUUUUUGUAAAAGAUUACAUAGAUUUACGAAAAAUGGUUAAAAAUUGACUUUAAAGGGCAAUAACUUCUAAAGGGAUCAACUGACCAUUUUGGUCCAGUUGACUUAUUUGUAAAUCUUACUUUGCUGAACAUUUUUGCAGUUUACAGUUUAUCUCUAUCUAUAAUAAUAUUCAAGAUAAUAACCAAAAACAGCAAAAUUUCCUUAAAAUUAUCAAUUCAGUGGCAGCAACCCAACAACCAGUUGUCCAAUUCAUCUGAAAAUUUC
This 1370-nucleotide long non-coding RNA is filed under the name Mytilus galloprovincialis (Mediterranean mussel). Lineage: Eukaryota; Metazoa; Mollusca; Bivalvia; Mytilida; Mytilidae. The record is from RNAcentral.